RNAcentral lists this ribosomal RNA (373 nucleotides) under uncultured organism. Its description in RNAcentral is "partial 16S ribosomal RNA". It matches the Rfam family "Bacterial small subunit ribosomal RNA", at positions 527 to 896 of the family's 1533-position model. The record is from RNAcentral.
GUAGGUGGCAAGCGUUGUCCGGAAUUAUUGGGCGUAAAGCGCGCGCAGGCGGUUCUUUAAGUCUGAUGUGAAAGCCCACGGCUCAACCGUGGAGGGUCAUUGGAAACUGGAGAACUUGAGUACAGAAGAGGAAAGCGGAAUUCCACGUGUAGCGGUGAAACGCGUAGAGAUGUGGAGGAACACCAGUGGCGAAGGCGGCUUCCUGGUCUGUAACUGACGCUGGGGCGCGAAAGCGUGGGGAGCAAACAGGGAUUAGAUACCCUGGUAGUCCACGCCGUAAACGAUGAGUGCUAAGUGUUAGGGGGUUUCCCGCCCCUUAGUGCUGCAGCUAACGCAUUAAGCACUCCGCCUGGGGAGUACGGCCGCAAGGCUG